AUACGGAGGAUGCAAGCGUUGUUCGGAAUUACUGGCGUAAAGCGCGUGCAGGCGGUAAGGUAAGUCAGAUGUGAAAGCCCCGGGCUCAACCCGGGAAGUGCAUUUGAUACUGCCUUUCUUGAGUAUGGGAGAGGAGAGUGGAAUUCCCAGUGUAGAGGUGAAAUUCGUAGAUAUUGGGAGGAACACCCGUGGCGAAGGCGACUCUCUGGACCAAUACUGACGCUGAGACGCGAAAGCGUGGGGAGCGAACAGGAUUAGAAACCCCAGUAGUCC
RNAcentral lists this ribosomal RNA (273 nucleotides) under uncultured bacterium. Its description in RNAcentral is "partial 16S ribosomal RNA". It matches the Rfam family "Bacterial small subunit ribosomal RNA", at positions 523 to 796 of the family's 1533-position model. The record is from RNAcentral.